Long non-coding RNA from Canis lupus familiaris (dog), 6501 nucleotides. RefSeq lists it as uncharacterized. Lineage: Eukaryota; Metazoa; Chordata; Mammalia; Carnivora; Canidae. The record is from RefSeq and is a predicted model, not a curated record. The transcript is spliced from 4 exons.
GGGGAGGGGAUGAAUUCUACAAACAAGGAGAGAAAUCAUAUUGGAUACAUCAGGACACAUUUUUUGGCUUCAGUGACCUGAGGAAUAAAAUGUUCUCAUAUAUGUCGUGGUCACAUUUUAUGCAACGGAUGCUUUUUUGAAGAUCUUGCAUAAUUCAAGACAAACUUUCCCAUAGCAAUAAAUGUAAAGUCAGAGGGAUGUGUUCCAGCAGAGCAUAAAUCUGUAAUUACUAUGUUUUCUUUUGGCUUUAAAGCUGUUCCCCCCACCCCAGCAUUAUCUAUAAUAUUUUGCAGAGUCUUUUCCCAUAUCAAUAGCACGUCAGAGUGCGUGCAUGGGUUUUGCUGUGGCAUUUUACCACAUCUAACUUCCCUUGCAUAGAUUUAAAUUUGGGGGAGCUUUUUAUCAGCCUCAGAGUGAGCACCCCCAUUCAUGGAUCUUUUAGAUGACAAUAAAUUGUAUCAGUGAAGAUUAGUACUGGCAAAAUAGUCACCACGAUGUUAACAAAACUCUUUGACUCAUAUAAAUAAUAAUAAGGUUCACAGAUUACAGAUCCUGAGAAAAGAUGGCAGGCAUUUCUGUGGCCUGCUAUGUGGGGAAAAUGAAAUGGUUUCCCAGGACCUCUGUUGGUCUUCAAAUUAUGCAAUUAUUGAUAGAUUUUUUUUUUUAUUUUGGAGGAUUCAUGUUAAUUCUAAUUUCAUGUAUCUCAGGAGACUGUCAAGUCAAUACUGUUGUGUGUCACAAGGUUCAGAUUGGCUAUGUAUAUGUCAUGAUAACUAAGUGGAUCCCAUGUGCCUGCCAAUCUAAGCUGGAAAUCCUGAGCAGAUUGAGAGGAGGGAGAGGUUAGGGGAGGAUGGGCGCUGCAGGGUAGGCUGGACCCAGGAGAUGACUGGUAGUAGCAGUGAGUGGGCACAAGUUUUCCAUCCCAAGUGUGCUGCCCUGCCUGUUGGUCUUCUCUGCCAUCAUGGAAAUGAAAGGUCACUAACCGCCUCUUCUAUACCCAUAGGGAACGACCUCAGGAGGAUACUCAGGUAUGCAGAUUCCCUGACUAGUUCUAGAGCAGUGGAUGUCCAAGCGUGGUCCCUGAUCAACAACCGCCACACCACCUGGAGGUCUUGUUGCCAUGUAGCUUCUGACCCAAUACCAGCGGGUAGGGCCUGAGCUUCUGCAUUUCAUAAGCUCCCACGGGAUGCCGAUGCCCAUGGUCCAAGGACCACACUUUGAGUAGUAAGGAUGCAGGGUGCUUUUACAGGCCAUUUGCUUCCAUACCUCUUCACCCACUUACAAGUGCAUAAAAUCCAUCCUUAUUAUAUGACCAGAAGGAAGGUUCAACACAGCCCAAGUGACAGUAUCAGUGCUAAAUUCUUCCAUGGGAUGGAAGGACUGGUGAGUUGCAGAGGACUCUCCCUUCUGGUGGUGGGGAGAGUGAUGAGCACCCUGACUCUGACCAGGCUGAGAGGACAGAGGAAGGAGUCUGGGGAAGCUGAAUCACUUGGAGGACUUGACAGCUCUGCAUGGGACCUGGCACAGUGUCAGCCACUGCCUCCCAGGACGUCUCAGGUUCCAAGCUGCUUUUGUUAUUUAAUACCUCUGACUUCAUAGAAAGGAGCUUUGUUUAGGGAGGAAGGGGAGCUAAUUGAGGCAUCAAGGUAUAUAAUAUAGACCUUGCCCUCUGGGAACGUAAUGCAAUUUUUAACUGUUUCCAGAGCAAGACUUAAGCAAUCCAACUCUGGGCAGAAACCACCACGAUUAGUUUUCAAGUUUCUAAAGUACUUUUUCAUUCUGGAUAGAGAAGCCGAAAAUCCUGGGGGAACACACUGAGCUUCUCCAGAAGCCACAGGUCCGUUACAUGUCAGACUAUAUUCAGCUUCGUGGGGAAAUGACAACUAAUUUUCACGUAAAAUUCAUCUUGGUGCGCACACAAACGCCAGCAGGCAAUAUGCAACGGCUGUGCGUGGGAUUACUGAGAUUUCUUUUUCUUCUUUAAACAUUCCUUUUCCUGUGGUUUUAAUGAUGUUUACACAAUAAGACAUUCAUUUUAGGAGGCCGAAGAGUCUCUGAACUGUUUCUAUUGUGCAUUGUAUUGGUAGGGACAGAAUAAGCUCAUUAUUCCCGUACAGUCAGGAGAGUGGGAAGUGAUUAAACCUUUUGAUAAGAAGAUAAAUGAUAGGAAAUCCAUCUGAAAGCCCGCACUGCCCCGACUCAGAGUUUCCACACUGAGCUAGCACAAAGCCUUCCUUCUGUGCAGGGCGCCCUGGGCAGCCUCAUCCUUCCAGCUGUUGUCCCACAUUGGCUGUGACACUCUUAAAGACCCACACCUGGGGCAGCACUGUUUGCUGAAAGCAGGACCCCAGGCGUGGUCAGGGCCUGGUUCUGGGCUCCUAGAAUACCUUUCUCCCAUGCACGAGUUCCUGGUGCUUUACACUCCCCAAUGUCAAAAAUUGGAUCUCCUGGGCACAGUCCAGCACAUGAGAUCACCCAGGAAUAUUUCUCAGCUGGGUGGACAGGUGGAAGUUUUUAUCAAGCUUGAAAGAGGCUGUCACCGAGUGCGUGGCCUCACGUCAGACUUCUGUGCGGACAGGUAAUUGAUUGACCAAUGGUUAGCACGAGUCACUUACCACUCUAAGGGGUAAGCUUCUCUUUGCGGGGAGUCAAGGAAAGCCCACUUUUCUCAGUAACAUGGUGUGUCCACAAUGACUUCUUUAAAAAUGUAUUGACUGGGGUGCCUGGGUGGCUCAGUCAGUUCAGCAUCCAACUCUUGAUCUCAGCUCAGGUCUUGGUCUCAGGGUCGUGAGUUCAAGCCUGGCUUGGGCUCUAUGCUGGAUGUGGAGACGCCUUUAAAUACAUAAAGUAAAAUAAGAUAAAAUAAAGUAAAAAUGCAUUGUCCAUCGACAGUUUGCCUGCAUCAUAUACCAUAACUCGUGUUCUGUGCACAUUGCCCUGUAGCUCCCAAUGACCACUCCCUCCGUCCCAGGUCCUGGCAGGGAAGGAUCUGCACUUCUUCCAAUCCUGAGUUUUGUAGCCAGGAAGCAGAGGAUCAAGAGAAGAGUAAAGAAAUACACGAUCUGCUUGUAUCAGGGCCCACCUCCCCACUGUUGCUGCACCUCUGUGUUUCAGAUUCUGUGUCCAGAGCGGGCACCUGUUGCUUUUGCCUACAUGUGCCCCACAUCCCUGUCUUCAAGAAGCAGCAGCUCUUUCCUGCUCAUGUGCCAUGUUUUCCCUGGGGCUGAUCCCACAGCCCUGCCCUAGGGAGCAUAAGUGCAAGGCCACAGCCUUUAAAGUCCUGAUGAUCAGCUCAAGACCAGACAUGCAAUUUAAGCAAGGUCAAUGAAAUUCAAGCUGUGACUUUUACUGAAACCUACUGAAAGUCUCUUCAUUUUUGCUGGGGUUACUCAGUUGAUAGACUACAAGGUUAGAGCUUCUAGGGGUUACUUACCCCGUGUAGGAAAGUGGAUGCACUGCCGAGAAGUGGAGAAAGAUAUGUUUGGAAAAACACUAAUUGAGCUCCUGGAUACAGCCAUACCUGCAUGAAUAUUGCCUGAACUUUUCAGAUACUUGAGCUAGUAAAGGUUCCCCCUUUGUCUUUUUAUUUUCUUUCCUUCCUGCCCACACUCUCUUCCUUCCUUUGUUCGUUCCUUCCUCCUUCCCUCCCUUCCCCUCCCUUCUUUCCUUCUUUCCAUUUCUGCCUUGGUUUUUGUCAUUUGCACCAAAAGAACAGUCCCCUCUCUGGCCUUUAGUAUAUACUUGAUAAAGUAAAAUGAAAUGAGUUUCCUUUUAUCUAACAGUGUUUAUGAUUCAAAGAUACAUGUUAGAGGCAAUGGAGCACUUUUAGAAGUGUAUUUAUUCUGGGACAUGCACCAAAUAUCCAGGGACCAAAAAGAGGCAGUGUGUCUUCAAAUCCUUCCAAGCUCUGCAUCCAGGGAGCAGAGGCUCUGCUGUCAUCCUGCGCCAUCUCAGACAUCCAGCCAGGCUAGUGAAUGGACUGGCUGCUCUCUCCAAGUGACACCUGUUCUAGAGGGUCAUCCUUGCUGGCACACUCUGGUCCCUGAAGAUUGCGUACUUGGCACGCUGAAGGAGCUGAACUCUGUGGGGGUCCAGGUUAAAAAAAAAAACAGUUUUAUUCUUUCUUGCUGUUGACCCUUCAAAUCCAUUUUAGGGAUCAAUUUUUACCCACUUGGACAAACCCCAUGGUUUUUCCUGUCGUUUUUGAAAAGUCUCCCAGUCACUUUAUGUUUUAAGAAUACUCUCAUUUUCAUAAUUAAAAUAUGCAGUCUGCCGUAGCUAUGAAACUCAAACCUACCUCAACAGUGAAAUCUUCUCUUUCCUCCCCGCUUGGGUCUGACAGGCAGCAGACAGAGGAUGCUGGAGUCUUCCCCAGGGUCCUCCUGCCUGGUCCUUCCUCUUCCUCUUCCUCACUUCAUGGGACCACUUGUGGCUCCUCCAUGGUUUGGAGAUAGUGGAGGGAGGAGAGGUAGGGCAGGACAGGUAAUAUUUGACUGGCGUCCUGCCCCACGUUGUUGCCUCCUGUUUUGAUGGGUUCCCAUCAGGCACCUUUCUGUUGUUUUUUUGUGGGCGGCAUUGUCUUCUGGAGGAGGCCUCAGCUGCAGUGGGCAUCACCUUCUCUCCUUCCACCCCUGACCACAUGAAAGUCUGCUGGUCCUGUUGGGUCCCCUUUCCCGCCAGGUGUCCCAAGGGGGUCAGGUCUAAGGUUCUGCCAAGCCCCUUCCCUUCCCGGGGUCUCACGUCAGAUCUGUGGGCCAUUGCCCGUGUGGUCGGGGGAUCGGCCCUCAGUGCACUUCUCUGCUCUGUCACCAGGCUGCUGUGAUGAGCCUCUGCCUCUGGGCUUCUUGGGGUGGGAGUCAGACCUGGCCUCUGUCCCCCACACACCCCGGGAGACAUGGGUCAGCCUCUCCAAGGGAUUCUUUGGAAGCCUGUCUUAACUGGAUUGAAAAGAGGGAAGUCCUGCCCCUCCCUUCCUGACUCUAGAGCAGGAGGGAGGACCUGUAGGGCCUGGCAUGCCCUCGCCUAGCUGUGAAGAAAGUCUGGAAGCUUCGUAACCUCAACCUGUUUGGAUCCUCCAGGCAGAUUUUGAUGAGAGGACAAAUCUUCACAGUGGCCUGCCUGCCUGAGUGCUCAAGCACCCCACCUUGCAUCGGGGUUUUCUUGCCUUCUAGUGUCCACCAGUACUUCUCAGCUUCUGGAGUUUCCACCAAGAGAGCCGAGAGAUCUGAGCCACACACAGUGGCCCCGGGGGGUGACAGUCACCUACCUUUCCUGGGAGCCGUCACUCAAGAUGCCUUGCUGCUGCAUUCACUUUAGGAGGACUUCAAUCACACACGAUGGCACUUGCAGCCACUCUUCCAGCUUCUGGAAUCGUGAAGAAAGACAUUUCUGUUUCUCAAGGCCUGCAGUACCUUUCUGGGGCAGCCCCAGCAAACCAAGACAGCCCCCACUUGCCCUGGGCCCAGUUCCUCCGCCUGCUCGGCCUGCCUGGGCUGCCAUCUUGAGACUAGUGGAGGCUGUCAGAGAAAUUUCGUGACAGGAAGGCGAGCCAUCCAGGUGUCCCCUCGUCCCUGAAGCCGGAGCUGGAAGCACAAGCCAUGCUGGGAGACCUCCCCUCACUGGGCCACCACUUGGGCCAGCCGUUCCCUUCUGCUCUGUGAGCUCCUGGAGAACGAGGUCCACUUCCACACCUGCUCUUGACACCGUCCUUCCCUCCUGAGGUGGCAGCAGAAAUACCAGGACUUGCCCUGGCUUCUCAGCAGCUGAGAUGCAGUCAUUUUGGUUUUGAAAGUCACAGACCCGGGCCUGCAAGAAGGACAAGGUCUCUGGUGGAACAGGUCCCAGAAGAACAGGUUGCAAGGAUGCCAAGUGCUGAGAGAAAGCCUAGUCGUCAUCUGAGGCCUUGAAACUUUUCAAGUGACUCAGCAAAGCUGUGUACACAGAACUUUAUCAAUUAUGCAUCAUAAAUAAAUCAUUUAAAUGCACGAUGUACUAAUUGAAUAUUACUCUAAUUCAUAGCGAUAUGGGGUAAUUACAAACCCCACCUCAUCCUUCUUCGAAAUGCAGAGGCCAGCAGAAUGGACUGCCCUUGAGAGGCCUUGCAGUUGGGGAAAGACGCCCAGAGUAUAUUAAGAGGAGGCACUGGAGAGAUGAGGUUGGUUGGGGCUCUUUUGUGCAUUUCUCUGUCUGUGCCUGUCCUGCUCUGAUCGUGGAAAUCCAGAUGCAACAACCUCAUCCCUCUUCUCUGCUGAGUUCUUCAGUCCAAGGAAGGGUCAGCUCUUUGGCUCCUAACAGCAUGUGACUGACACUCCUCACCAGCACCGGCCUCUGAAGGCCACGUCUGGGCCUAGGACCUGGCACCAUCUUCCAGAAGGGCUCCCCCUUCACCUCCAAAAUCUGGGGCACCUCCAGAACCAAGAGCCUUGAAUUGUCUUGAAAUGUGCGCUGUGUCUCGUUAGGCCAAAAGAAAACUUGUGAAAGCAGUAAGAGUAUGUUAGUAAA